Molecule: ribosomal RNA, 253 nt
Filed under: uncultured bacterium
Lineage: Bacteria
Description: partial 16S ribosomal RNA
Rfam family: Bacterial small subunit ribosomal RNA
Source: RNAcentral
UACGGAGGGUGCAAGCGUUGUCCGGAAUCACUGGGCGUAAAGGGCGCGUAGGCGGCUCAUGAAGGCUGUGGUGAAAGUCCGGGGCUCAACCUCGGAUCGGCCGUGGCGACUCGUGGGCUGGAGCACUGUAGAGGCGGGUGGAAUUCCGGGUGUAGCGGUGGAAUGCGUAGAGAUCAGGAAGAACACCCGUGGCGAAGGCGGCGCUCUGGGCCUGUACUGACGCUGAGACGCGAAAGCGCGGGGAGCGAACGGG